AGGUGAUGCAGACAGAACAGAGGAUGCUGACCACGAGAGACAGACCUAUUCCUAACAUCAGUGAACUUCAGCAUGGACUCAAAGGAAAGGACAUACCUGAAGGACACAACUGCCUUACCGUUUUCUCAGAGGGGCAAGAAUAAAAUGAAAAGCUGAUAUCAGAUUAAAGACCAAUACAGGACAUUCAAUAAGAAACUACUCUUUUAUUGUCGAGACAAAAGUCAAUAUGUAAUAAUAUCUGUGAAAAACGGACUGAGAAAUAAUGAUGUGUUUUCGUUUAGAGUAUUAUUAUUAUUAUUAUUAUUGUAUUGUUCAAUACCAAGAGAGGGUAUUCGUUUUAUUUUGGACCAAGGCUACCUUUCAUAAGAGAGCUGUAUUGAAAUAAUAUGAAUGCCGCUUCUGGUAACACGGCAACAUGAGGGGCGUAGUUUGUGAUGGCCGGUCUCUUGUUCUCAAAGCCACGGAGGGAGAACCAGGCGACAGUGUGUGUGAGGCUCCGGAGACGCCGUUGGUAUGUUUCUCCGGUGUUUAUUGUGGUUUAUGUACUUGAUCUGUUGCCUCACUUUGCGAGAGUGCUGUUGCUGACUACUUUUUACGCAGCGCGGUCUGCCUGUGCUCCGUUUGUUUGCUGUGUAAUUUAGACAGCGCAGGUGUUCAGAUGAGGUUUUCUCUGGUGCUUGUCUCCAAGGAGAGAUAAACACUCUUAUUAAUUCAUUUAAGUUAAUGAUGUGGUUUUAAAAUAACAAGUUAUCCUUUUAAUUAAAACAUGGUUUGUGUUGCUAUUAUUAUUAUUAUUAUUGAGAAUGCAGUGAGGCCUGCAAAAUGUUUGUAAUGUGUGUUUGCAUGUGAGCUAACAUUUGUUUGUACGUUGUGUUUUGAAGGUUUUCAACCUGAUGAAUUCUUGGAGCUGUCUUAAAUAAA
This is a long non-coding RNA of Gymnodraco acuticeps, 921 nucleotides long. RefSeq lists it as uncharacterized. NCBI's taxonomy places the organism in Eukaryota, Metazoa, Chordata, Actinopteri, Perciformes, Bathydraconidae. The transcript has 2 exons. The record is from RefSeq and is a predicted model, not a curated record.